GGCGGUGCGGCGAAAUGGUAUCGCGUCUGACUACGAUUAGAAAUCCCAUCAGGAGAUUGCAGGUUUGACCCCUGUCUAGGUUA
Molecule: non-coding RNA, 83 nt
Organism: Tephrocybe rancida
Lineage: Eukaryota; Fungi; Basidiomycota; Agaricomycetes; Agaricales; Lyophyllaceae
Source: the annotation of a GenBank genome assembly